AUUGAACGCUGGCGGCAUGCUUUACACAUGCGAGUCGAACGGCAGCGCGGGCUUCGGCCUGGCGGCGAGUGGCGAACGGGUGAGUAAUACAUCGGAACGUGCCCAGUAGUGGGGGAUAGCUCGGCGAAAGCCGGAUUAAUACCACAUACGACCUGAGGGUGAAAGCGGGGGAUCUUCGGACCUCGCGCUAUUGGAGCGGCCGAUGGCAGAUUAGCUAGUUGGUGGGGUAAAGGCCUACCAAGGCGACGAUCUGUAGCUGGUCUGAGAGGACGACCAGCCACACUGGGACUGAGACACGGCCCAGACUCCUACGGGAGGCAGCAGUGGGGAAUUUUGGACAAUGGGCGAAGGCCUGAUCCAGCAAUGCCGCGUGUGUGAUGAAGGCCUUCGGGUUGUAAAGCACUUUUGGCGGGAACGAAAAGGACUGUGCCAAUACCACGGUUCGAUGACGGUACCCGCAGAAUAAGCACCGGCUAACUACGUG
Molecule: ribosomal RNA, 484 nt
Filed under: uncultured bacterium
Lineage: Bacteria
Description: partial 16S ribosomal RNA
Rfam family: Bacterial small subunit ribosomal RNA
Source: RNAcentral